Molecule: ribosomal RNA, 402 nt
Filed under: uncultured bacterium
Lineage: Bacteria
Description: partial 16S ribosomal RNA
Rfam family: Bacterial small subunit ribosomal RNA
Source: RNAcentral
AAUAUUUCGCAAUGGGGGGAACCCUGACGCAGCAACGCCGCGUGAAGGAUUAAGGCCUUCGGGUUGUAAACUUCUUUGAUUAGGGAGGAAAACAAUGACGGUACCGAAAAAACAAGCCACGGCUCACUUCGUGCCCGCCGCCGCGGUAAAACGUAGGUGGCGAGCGUUGUCCGGAAUUACUGGGUGUAAAGGGCGUGUAGGCGGGAAUGUAAGUCAGAUGUGAAAUUCUGGAGGUCAACCUCAGAGCUGCAUCUGAAACUAUGUUUCUUGAGUGCUGGAGAGGAAAGCGGAAUUCCUAGUGUAGCGGUGAAAUGCGUAGAUAUUAGGAGGAACACCAGUGGCGAAGGCGGCUUUCUGGACAGUAACUGACGCUGAGGCGCGAAAGCGUGGGGAGCAAACAGG